UACGUAGGGGGCAAGCGUUGUCCGGAUUUAUUGGGCGUAAAGAGCGUGUAGGCGGCCAGGUAGGUCUGCUGUGAAAACUCGAGGCUCAACCUCGAGACGCCGGUGGAAACCAUCAGGCUAGAGUCCGGAAGAGGAGAGUGGAAUUCCUGGUGUAGCGGUGAAAUGCGCAGAUAUCAGGAAGAACACCCGUGGCUAAGGCGGCUCUCUAGUACGGUACUGACGCUGAGACGCGAAAGCGUGGGGAGCGAACAGG
This 253-nucleotide ribosomal RNA is filed under the name uncultured bacterium. RNAcentral describes it as "partial 16S ribosomal RNA". It matches the Rfam family "Bacterial small subunit ribosomal RNA", at positions 524 to 776 of the family's 1533-position model. The record is from RNAcentral.